RNAcentral lists this ribosomal RNA (315 nucleotides) under uncultured bacterium. RNAcentral's name for it is "bacterial SSU rRNA". It matches the Rfam family "Bacterial small subunit ribosomal RNA", at positions 28 to 334 of the family's 1533-position model. The record is from RNAcentral.
GAUGAACGCUAGCUACAGGCUUAACACAUGCAAGUCGAGGGGCAGCAUGGUCUUAGCUUGCUAAGGCCGAUGGCGACCGGCGCACGGGUGAGUAACGCGUGAGCAAUCUGCCUUUCAGAGGGGGAUAACAGCCGGAAACGGCUGCUAAUACCGCAUAAUGCAUUGGAAUCGCAUGACUCUGUUGCCAAAGAUUUAUCGCUCUGAGAUGGCCUCGCGUCUGAUUAGCUAGUUGGCGGGGUAACGGCCCACCAAGGCGACGAUCAGUAGCCGGACUGAGAGGUUGGCCGGCCACAUUGGGACUGAGACACGGCCCAG